Molecule: non-coding RNA, 963 nt
Organism: Leptonychotes weddellii (Weddell seal)
Lineage: Eukaryota; Metazoa; Chordata; Mammalia; Carnivora; Phocidae
Source: RefSeq, a predicted model, not a curated record
GGAUCAACUGUAUUUUGGCAUUGAUGGGUGUCUGUUCAUUUGUUUAUUUGUUCAAAUGUAUUUGCAUUAGACCUGGGUUUCAAUUCAGGUUCAAGCAAUAUAAUCUGGGUGUCUUAGGCUGAUUACUUAACCUCUCUGAACUUCCAUUUCUUCGCCUGUAAAAUGUGGGUGAUUCCUACCUUAUAAACGAGAUAAUGUAUUGAAAUCACCUGGUCCAUAACAAAUACUUGGUAAAUAAUAAUAAUUACUGUCAUUAUGGAAGGGUCGGGGGCUGAAAAGGUCUGAGUGAUCGAAUAUAUCUUCUGCCUCAAAAAGCGGUUAAGAAUUUAGAGACGCUUCCUCCUAUUCCCGAACAGGGGAUUGUAAAUGCCUGAGUUAUAAAAUGAGGAACGGGAGAGGUCGGGUGUUUAUGGUAUCACAGCCGAGAGAGGCUUUCCACAAACGUUAUCUCGGGCCCCUGAUUCUACAGUGGAGGUGGUGCCUCAGAGCCACUGAUCCUGUCGGUUAAGAGGAACAAAUAUAAUCACCCCGUUUCUGUAGAUUAAAAAAAAAAAAUCGAAGCCCAGAGAGAUAAAACCGCUUGUCAGGAUUGCAUAGUCGGGAAAAGGCAGAGGUGACCUUGAACUCGGGUUCCUGACUGCCACUCGCAAGCUAUUUUUAAUUUUAGCACAUUUCCUCUAAAAAGGCUGUUGGGAAAAUUAGGCAAAGUGCGCGAUACCGAGGCGGGUGGAGGAAGAGAGGAUGAGAGGCAGUUGGUGGAGAUUAAAGCUGACAUUGCACUGCAGGGUCACAUGGCAGAGGAGGAAUGAAUAAUCGAGAAUAAUCCCAGUUGGCGCAUAUGCUAACUCGCUUUUCUCACUUAAGAGAUGUUGCUGAUGGAAACGUCUGGAGUUCAGUAGUGAUUCAUCUGACGUAUUCUUUUAAACAGUUGUGUGGUACUCCAUGUUCAUAUGAUGAAUGCUA